This 253-nucleotide ribosomal RNA is filed under the name uncultured bacterium. Its description in RNAcentral is "partial 16S ribosomal RNA". It matches the Rfam family "Bacterial small subunit ribosomal RNA", at positions 524 to 776 of the family's 1533-position model. The record is from RNAcentral.
UACGGAAGGGGCUAGCGUUGGUCGGACUUACUGGGCGUAAAGCGCACGUAGGUGGCGACGUAAGUCGGGUGUGAAAGCCCCGGGCCCAACCUGGGAAUUGCAUUCGAGACUGCAUUGCUGGAGUACGGAAGAGGAGGGCGGAAUUCCCGGUGUAGCGGUGAAAUGCGUAGAUAUCGGGAGGAACAUCAGUGGCGAAGGCGGCCCUCUGGUCCAGUACUGACACUCAAGUGCGAAAGCGUGGGGAGCAAACAGG